Molecule: small nuclear RNA, 107 nt
Filed under: Dasypus novemcinctus (nine-banded armadillo)
Lineage: Eukaryota; Metazoa; Chordata; Mammalia; Cingulata; Dasypodidae
Source: RNAcentral
GUGCUCACUUUGGCAGUACAUAUACUAAAACUGGAAUGAUACAGAGAAGAUUAGCAAGGCGCCUGCACAAGGGUGACAUGUUAAUUUGUGGAGUGUUCCUUAUUUUU